AAGGCUGGUGAUUUUCUUUAGGGUUAGAGUUACCCAGACCUCCAAUUGGAACUUUAAAAACGGGUUCAAAAAGCGCUCCCUCUUUUGACAGCGUUUGUUGUGGGAACUGAUAUUUUGAUGCAGCAACAGGGUUUUCCUUUGUAGUGUUGUGUUCCUUGCUGUCCGCCCCUCCUGACUCACUUUUUCAGCUCAUCUUCCUGCAGAGUUGAUUGUGAGAUUGCAGGUCGAGAGAAUGACCAUUCGAGUGUACUGCUCGUUUGGUGCUGUUUUAUUGUGUAUGUCUGCAUGUUUGAGCACAACAGACGCUGGAGUCGUAGUGUCCGGUCAGUGUCCGGCGACGUUGACGGUCGAGCCGUCCCAUCGAGGAUGCACUUCUGAUAGAGACUGUUGUGGAGGACACAAAUGCUGUCCAUUUCCCUGUGGUCCUGUGUGUGUGCCGCCUGUUUUCAUGUGAAGAAUG
Molecule: non-coding RNA, 460 nt
Organism: Pimephales promelas (fathead minnow)
Lineage: Eukaryota; Metazoa; Chordata; Actinopteri; Cypriniformes; Leuciscidae
Source: RefSeq, a predicted model, not a curated record